GGCCUGAUAACACUUUACCCGCAUGGAGACUCAGGACCUGACCAGGUUACAGUAUAGCCAGGAUAUACCCAGUCACUUGGCCGAUGAGCAUGCGCUGAUAGCCUCCUAUGUGGCCCGUCUGCAGCACUGUGCACGUGUUCUGGACAGUCCUAGCCGACUGGAUGAGGAACACCGUCUUAUAGCUCGCUAUGCUGCCCGGCUGGCUGCAGAAGCAGGAAACGUGACUCGUCCUCCCACUGACUUGAGCUUUAACUUUGAUGCCAACAAACAACAAAGACAGCUUAUUGCAGAACUGGAAAACAAAAACAGAGAGAUCCUGCAGGAGAUUCAGCGUCUCCGCCUGGAACACGAGCAGGCCUCCCAGCCCACCCCUGAGAAGGCACAGCAGAACCCCACGCUGCUGGCAGAGCUGCGGCUGCUGAGGCAAAGGAAGGAUGAACUGGAGCAGAGGAUGUCGGCCCUGCAGGAGAGCAGGCGGGAGCUGAUGGUCCAGCUGGAAGAGCUGAUGAAGUUGCUGAAGGCUCAGGCCACAGGGUCACCACAUACAUCGCCCACCCAUGGAGGCGGCCGGCCGAUGCCCAUGCCAGUGCGCUCCACGUCUGCCGGCUCCACCCCCACCCACUGUCCGCAGGACUCGCUGAGCGGAGUCGGGGGAGACGUGCAGGAGGCCUUCGCACAAGGUACGAGGAGAAACCUCCGCAAUGACCUGCUGGUGGCAGCUGACUCCAUCACCAACACCAUGUCAUCCCUGGUGAAGGAGCUCCAUUCAGGUGAAACCCAGAGCUCCCAGCCAGCUUCCCGGCCACCCCUGCCUUGCCCGCGCCCUUCUCACUUCCUUGCCAGCGCCGGCAGAACCUCACCACCC
RNAcentral lists this small RNA (865 nucleotides) under Pan troglodytes (chimpanzee). Its description in RNAcentral is "retained intron". The record is from RNAcentral. Lineage: Eukaryota; Metazoa; Chordata; Mammalia; Primates; Hominidae.